UCUCCAAGUUCCCAAAAUUGAGAACCUCUAAGUCUCUUCACCAAGGAGAGAUUGGAGAAGAAAUGAGUGACCUUAGAGUAGUGGGAUUGCAAGAUGCACCCCCCAAGGUGGCCGGCCUUUUUAGAGAGAAAUGGAGAGACAAGUUCUCACCAAUUUUCUCCAAAACAAACCCUUAAUGAAUUUUAGCUAUAAAGUCAUAUUUAUACCUUUAUUCAUUUGAGUGGCAAACUUGUAAAUAAGUCCAAGUUCACUACCCUAAACAAUAUGGCUGGCCAUUAGGAUAUUUUGGACUAAUUGGGCCUUUGUGAAUCAUUAUUCAUUACGUUGUCAUACAACUUAAGUUAAUGGGCUUGACGUUCGAAGCCCAUUGGGCCUUAAGGUCCAAAACUAUCCUGAGGUCUUUAACGAACUUAUUCGUUUGAUUAAUUAACAUAUUAAUUAAUCCUUACCAUAAAUAAAUGAUUAAACCAUUUAAUCAUUCUUACUCAUCUCCAUUGUUUCUUCAAUCUCCACCUUACACGGU
RNAcentral lists this long non-coding RNA (523 nucleotides) under Malus domestica (apple). RNAcentral's name for it is "long non-coding RNA (MDOM_LNC017594)". The record is from RNAcentral. Lineage: Eukaryota; Viridiplantae; Streptophyta; Magnoliopsida; Rosales; Rosaceae.